This is a long non-coding RNA of Electrophorus electricus (electric eel), 261 nucleotides long. RefSeq lists it as uncharacterized. NCBI's taxonomy places the organism in Eukaryota, Metazoa, Chordata, Actinopteri, Gymnotiformes, Gymnotidae. The record is from RefSeq and is a predicted model, not a curated record.
CCUGGAGUCAUUAAUUAUUUCAUCCUUGCAGGCUGGGAAGCGUGUAGGCACAGAAGGACAAGGCUCGGGUGUGCUUAGCUAGUGCAGUUAUCUGGCUGGAGCUUUCUAUCUGAAUCAGUACAAAACUGCACGGUCCUGAUUGGUUAAUCCUGUUUCUCACUUUGAACAUCACAUCAGUGCAAUUACUGCACAAACAGGAAAGCGCAGGGCGGGCUGAUGUGUGAAUGCCAGCUCUAUUCCGGGAGACACAGCGAUCUUACA